GAUGAACGCUGGCGGCGUGCCUAAUACAUGCAAGUCGAGCGAACAGACGAGGAGCUUGCUCCUCUGACGUUAGCGGCGGACGGGUGAGUAACACGUGGAUAACCUACCUAUAAGACUGGGAUAACUUCGGGAAACCGGAGCUAAUACCGGAUAAUAUAUUGAACCGCAUGGUUCAAUAGUGAAAGACGGUUUUGCUGUCACUUAUAGAUGGAUCCGCGCCGCAUUAGCUAGUUGGUAAGGUAACGGCUUACCAAGGCGACGAUGCGUAGCCGACCUGAGAGGGUGAUCGGCCACACUGGAACUGAGACACGGUCCAGACUCCUACGGGAGGCAGCAGUAGGGAAUCUUCCGCAAUGGGCGAAAGCCUGACGGAGCAACGCCGCGUGAGUGAUGAAGGUCUUCGGAUCGUAAAACUCUGUUAUUAGGGAAGAACCAAUGUGUAAGUAACUAUGCACGUCUUGACGGUACCUAAUCAGAAAGCCACGGCUAACUACGUG
Molecule: ribosomal RNA, 497 nt
Filed under: uncultured bacterium
Lineage: Bacteria
Description: partial 16S ribosomal RNA
Rfam family: Bacterial small subunit ribosomal RNA
Source: RNAcentral